Molecule: unclassified non-coding RNA, 2411 nt
Filed under: Hevea brasiliensis (rubber tree)
Lineage: Eukaryota; Viridiplantae; Streptophyta; Magnoliopsida; Malpighiales; Euphorbiaceae
Source: RNAcentral
UUCGAGUAAAUUUUAAAUGCUGGAAAAUAUGCCUAGUUGCUAUUCUUAAAUUAUUUAACUUUCACUUAGUUUCACUGCUCUAAACUUGAUUUUGAAGGAGCUUAGCAUGCUACAUAUUUAUAGAUAUAAAAAUGCUGCUCACAGGACUGUAAUACAGCUGGAUUUAUAGUUGUUUUCAUACAUGUUUUAACUUCAAACAUCAACUAUUCUAGCUUGCUUAGGGUUCUUGAAUAUUCUCCAACAUUUGAUUAAGAGAUAUCUGAAUUUGUUGAAUAUAUGGCUACUGAAUUUUCUGGAUAAUUUGAGUUGCAUUUGAGCCGUAUAUCUACUGAAAAAUCUGCACUUUUCUCCUCCAAUUUUCUAGGUUAUUCUCAUAAGUUGGUUAUCUCAAUAGCUGAAUUUUCUUGCUUUAAAAUUUUAGAUUUUUCCUUGGUCAAAACUCAGACAAGAUUUCUGACUCUAAUUUUCUGCUAUCUUCUAUAUGCUUCUGCAAAAUUUCAAGUUUACAUUUUCAACAUGUUUUACAUAAACUAUUUGUACUUUUAGUCUCUGGGGUAGCAGAGCAGAGUACUUAAUUUCAUGUUCACAAAUCUUCUCCGUGUUGUGAUUUAGAAGCAAGCAUUUGAUUGUCACUCAUUUUUCUUUCAUCUUUGGGUAAUUUUUACAUAUGCAUUUGGAUUAGUGGGUUAUGUGCAAGUUUUCUUGUUGAGUUCUUUUGGAAUCAAUAAGAUCUUUGACAGUUAUAGGCAUAUAUUAUUUUAGUUAUCCUUUGCACUUUUAUUUUUGUCUACAAUUCAGUGAAUUGUUUCAUGAAUUUAUCUAUGUACGUGCUAAAUUUUAAACUAAGUCUAUAUGCUAUUGUAUAGAAAUUUCUUGAAUGCUAGUACAGGUUACAUAGUGAAUUUCUUUGUUUAAAACAAAUUUUUUGGCAAGCAUUUGAUUGAGGUUUUAACUGUUAUUUAAUAGGUUGUGCCCUUCUUUCAUGCAUAUUUGCGCAUGGGUGUGCAGUUUAAUGACCGUGAGCUUGUGAAAUGCAUCAUGAUAAGACUAAUCUUUAUCAUGAAUUCAUCAAUUAACUGAUGCUAUUUUAAAUCACAUAUUUAGUUAUUCGGCGUUUUGAGUUUCAUUGUGUUUUCUUUCUUUUUUUUUCUUUGUUGUUAUUGUUUUAGUAAUUUGUAAGGAAUCAAAUGAACGGAGCUAAAUUAAAUUUUGAAGAUGGAAUUGCAUGUGAACAUUUUUUUUAGUGUUUAAUUGGACAAUUAGACUUUGAUUAUGGUACCUUAACAGUAGAUUUAGAAGAAUGUUGUGAUUGCUAAAAAUUAUUGUACGCUCUAGAUGGGCCUAAGUAAUAGAUUGAUCAUGUGGAUGUUAUAACAUACAAUUAUUGUGUUCUUGGCAGGAUGCUAAGUCGAAAAUAUCGAAGAGAUUCUAUUGAAUUUUCAGCAGAAAUUGUUUAAAUAAUUAUCCUAUUAUAUAUUGGGAUUUUGAGUUAUAAAUCUUAAAUAGAGAAUAUUUUAGGUGAAGGAAAAUAAAAGAAAUUCGGAUGGGUCUAAAUCCCUGAGAAAAGUGAGUGAUGGCAUGCAUCACCAAAUUGUUGCAGGAAAAUUUAAUUUUUUUUUUUAUUAUUCUUUUUGUUUGUUUGGAUGCAAAGGAAAUUAUAGAACUGAGAUUUCACUUUUUGCAAUCAAAUUUAGCAUCAGGAUUUGAUGAUGCAAAUCAUUGCUUGCCUACUAAUUGUAGGACAAGUGCAUCCUUUUUCACUCGAACCUCACAGAGAUUGGACUCCUGACAAAGUACUUAGCAGAAACCCAUGAUAUAUAUCCUUGAGCAAAUUCACUUGUUUUGCCACCAUUCCCAAUAGGACUGAAUGUCACCGAAUAUGUCGCCUUCUGGUUCAUCUGUGAGAAGUAAAGUUUAGGGGGCUUGACACUCACCCCAACUCCUGGCGGGGGAACAAUAAUUGGCACAUAAACUGAAUUUGCAUAACCUACAUUUGUCACAGUCCUUGUGAAUGUCUGUGAAGGUCCCAGUGUGACUGAAUAUGAAGGAUAGUUCAGUUCCCCUUCAGGUAUGCUCGGUUUGUCUGAGCAUUUUAUUGGUCUCUGUGCAAUUAUGCUGACUUGCUCAUCUUUGUAGCCCAGGCCACACAAGUAAGGUAUAUAAUCAUCUGGUUGGAUGUCAUAAAUUAAACCUGGGUCAUUUGCUCUUGAUGGAUUCACGUGGCCUGCACCAGUGGCGAAGAUAUCAGCUGGUUGGCGUGUUUCAUCAACAAUGGGUUUACCUUCCAUGUUUAAGAUAUCGGCGGUAGUCAUUAUGGCAGAUUUAAUGGCCGAUGGUGACCAAUCAGGAUGGGAGCUCUUGAGCAAGGCUGCAAUACCACUAAGAUGAGGGCAUGCCAUUGAAGUUCCAGA